Molecule: small RNA, 125 nt
Filed under: Marmota monax (woodchuck)
Lineage: Eukaryota; Metazoa; Chordata; Mammalia; Rodentia; Sciuridae
Source: RNAcentral
GCUGGGCAUGGUGUCACAUGCCUGUAAUCCCAGCAGCUCGGGAGGCUGAGGCAGGAGGAUCGUGAGUUCAAAGUCAGCCUCAGCAAAAGUGAGGCGCUAAGAAACUCAGGGAGACCCUGUCUCUA